GCCGAUAUGGCGGAACUGGCAUACGCAGCGGACUUAAAAUCCGUCCCUUAAUUGGUUGUGGGUUCGAAUCCCACUAUCGGCA
This is a non-coding RNA of Weissella cibaria, 82 nucleotides long. Lineage: Bacteria; Bacillati; Bacillota; Bacilli; Lactobacillales; Lactobacillaceae. The record is from Rfam.